ACUUAUAAAGCAUUUUAUCUUUCGUUUAAAAUAAGUUCGCCGUCCCUCUUUCUUGCUUCUGCAUAAAACUUGCGAAGGACGUUGACAAGAGUUUCUUUUGAGCCAACUAGAUCGUCUUCGUUGAUUUAUCUUGCUUCUAAAUGCUGCAUGGCGAAAGACAUUGACGGCGGUUUUAGUCGCUUUUUUGUUUUCCACGUUUUUUCUUCAACUAGAUAAAGCAAGACAACUCAUUUUCCGAAAGUUCAGCGAGCCGCCAUUGUUUACAAAAAUUGAAGGCAAUGCGCAUGCUCAGACUAUU
Non-coding RNA from Paramuricea clavata, 298 nucleotides. The record is from the annotation of a GenBank genome assembly. Lineage: Eukaryota; Metazoa; Cnidaria; Anthozoa; Malacalcyonacea; Plexauridae.